This 1058-nucleotide ribosomal RNA is filed under the name uncultured organism. RNAcentral describes it as "bacterial SSU rRNA". It matches the Rfam family "Bacterial small subunit ribosomal RNA", at positions 33 to 1094 of the family's 1533-position model. The record is from RNAcentral.
ACGCUAGCGGCAGGCUAACACAUGCAAGCCGAGGGGUAGUCUCUUUCGAGAGAACACGACCGGCGCACGGGUGAGUAACGCGUAUGCAACCUACCUUUGGCACGGGGACAGCCCGGGGAAACCCGGAUUAAUACCCGGUAUAGUCUGUUAUACACCUGUAUAAAAGACGAGAGCUACGGCGGCCAAAGAUGGGCAUGCGUGCCAUUAGUUAGUUGGUAGGGUAACGGCCUACCAAGGCAUCGAUGGCUACGGGGUCUAAAAGGAUGAGCCCGCACACUGGUACUGAGACACGGACCAGACUCCUACGGGAGGCAGCAGUGAGGAAUAUUGGUCAAUGGGUGGAAGCCUGAACCAGCCAUGCCGCGUGCAGGAAGACGGCCUUAUGGGUUGUAAACUGCUUUUCUACGGGACGAACGGCUCUGACGUGUCAGAGAUUGACGGUACCGUAGGAAUAAGCAUCGGCUAACUCCGUGCCAGCAGCCGCGGUAAUACGGAGGAUGCGAGCGUUAUCCGGAUUUAUUAGGUUUAAAGGGUGCGUAGGCUGGGCAAUAAGUCAGUGGUGAAAGUCCGCGGCUCAACCGUGGGAUUGCCAUUGAAACUGUUGUUCUUGAGUACAGUCGAGGUAGGCGGAAUGUGUAAUGUAGCGGUGAAAUGCAUAGAUAUUACCCAGAACACCGAUUGCGUAGGCAGCUUACCAGCCUGGAACUGACGCUGAUGCACGAAAGCGUGGGGAGCGCACAGGAGGAGAUACCCUGGUGAGUCUACGCCGUGGACGAGGAUCACACGCUGUUGGCGACAUAGAGGUCAGCGGCUGAGCGCAAGCACUAAGUGAGACACCUGGGGAGUACGUCGGCAACGAGGAGACUCAAAGAGAAUUGACGGGGGCCCGCACAAGCGCGGGAACACGUGGUUUAAUUCGAUGAUACGCGAGGAACCUUACCGGGGCUUAAAUGUAGCCGGACGAUUCCGGAAACGGGAUUUCCUUAACGGCUGGUUACAAGGUGCUGCAUGGCUGCCGUCAGCUCGUGCCGUGAGGUGUCGGGUUAAGUCCCACAACG